AUUGAACGCUGGCGGCAUGCCUUACACAUGCAAGUCGAACGGUAGCAGGUCUUCGGAUGCUGACGAGUGGCGAACGGGUGAGUAAUACAUCGGAACGUGCCCGAGAGUGGGGGAUAACGAAGCGAAAGCUUUGCUAAUACCGCAUACGAUCUCAGGAUGAAAGCAGGGGACCGCAAGGCCUUGCGCUCACGGAGCGGCCGAUGGCAGAUUAGGUAGUUGGUGGGAUAAAAGCUUACCAAGCCGACGAUCUGUAGCUGGUCUGAGAGGACGACCAGCCACACUGGGACUGAGACACGGCCCAGACCCCUACGGGAGGCAGCAGUGGGGAAUUUUGGACAAUGGGCGCAAGCCUGAUCCAGCCAUGCCGCGCGCAGGAUGAAGGCCUUCGGGUUGUAAACUGCUUUUGUACGGAACGAAAAGACUCUGGUUAAUACCUGGGGUCCAUGACGGUACCGUAAGAAUAAGCACCGGCUAACUACGUGCCAGCCGCCGCAGUAA
Molecule: ribosomal RNA, 498 nt
Filed under: uncultured bacterium
Lineage: Bacteria
Description: partial 16S ribosomal RNA
Rfam family: Bacterial small subunit ribosomal RNA
Source: RNAcentral